GCCAGCCAGAGACCAUGGUUCCCUUCGGGAAAACUGUCCACUCUGGAAGGGACAAUGAAAAUCCCUCCUGGCUGGCUCUCCGGAGCCUCAGGGACUGGUGUCUCCCCGCUCCGCCCUCCACCCCCCGAAAUGUUUCUGUUUCUAAUCCUAGCCUGGGCAGGAAUGUGGCUGUGCGGCCAGAGUCCAAGGAGCUAUUUUGGGGGCUCCUUUGCCUCCCCCAGGCUUUGUCCAGUUGAUCACCCCUGGUCCUGGCUCCUGAGGGCCUCCCUUCCCGAUUCUCUCACCACCCCUUCCCCACCUCCUGCCAAAAAAAAGUCAGCGUAAAGCAGAGGGCCUGAGGGCUAAAUUUAAACCGUCCCAAAGUCUGAAUCCCUGGCUGAGUCACCCGCAAAGCUGCCCUGGCCUCCUGCCUCCCUUCCCCAGGCCUCAACCCUUUUUCUUCCCUCCCAACUCCAGAGCUUGGGAGGGGUGUCACCAGAUCACUCUGAGCCUCAAUUGGUCCCCUCUGGGAAAUGGGAGGGCUCAUCCUUGGCAUCUGUAUGGUAUUCCACUGGGCUCCGCCUUUUCUGGCGGAGGGGAGUUUGAGGGUUGAGAUUCUCUAACCCCCCCCCCCAUCUGACACUGAAGCAUUCCGAGGGGCCUGGAAGGAGGGAGUUGGGGGGGCCUGGCUUGUGAGGGGUUAAGGCUGGGAGGCUAGAGGGGGCUGGACCAAGGGGUGGGGAGAAGGGGAGGAGGCCUUAGCAGCCAGCAGAGAGAAGUGGCCAGAGAGGCCCAGGGGACAGCCAGGGACAGGCAGACAUGCGGCCAGGGCCCCAGGGUCUGGACGGGGCCUUCCAGGCCCCAUGACAGGAGGACCUUGAGCCCCCCGCCCGGGGAGGGGGCCAUGGUGCUGCCUGCCCGUCAUGUCAGCCGAGGUGCGGCUGAGGCGGCUUCAGCAGCUGGUGCUGGACCCCGGCUUCCUGGGGCUGGAGCCCCUGCUUGACCUUCUCCUGGGUGUCCACCAGGAGUUGGGCGCCUCCGACCUGGCCCAGGAGAAGUAUGUGGCCGACUUCUUGCAGUGGGUGGAUCCCAUUGCGGCGAGGCUUAAGGAAGCCCGACUGCAGAGGGAUGACUUCGAGAUUCUGAAGGUGAUCGGACGCGGGGCGUUCAGCGAGGUAGCGGUGGUGAAGAUGAAGCAGACGGGCCAGGUGUACGCCAUGAAGAUCAUGAAUAAGUGGGACAUGCUGAAGAGAGGCGAGGUGUCGUGCUUCCGCGAAGAGAGGGAUGUGUUGGUGAACGGGGACCAGCGCUGGAUCACGCAGCUGCAUUUCGCCUUCCAGGACGAGAACUACCUGUACCUGGUCAUGGAGUACUACGUGGGCGGGGACCUGCUAACGCUGCUGAGCAAGUUUGGGGAGCGGAUCCCAGCCGAGAUGGCACGCUUCUACCUGGCCGAGAUUGUCAUGGCCAUAGACUCGGUACACCGGCUGGGCUACGUGCACAGGGACAUCAAACCAGACAACAUACUGCUGGACCGCUGCGGCCACAUCCGCUUGGCGGACUUCGGCUCCUGCCUCAAGUUGCGGGCAGAUGGAACGGUGCGGUCCCUGGUGGCGGUGGGCACCCCGGACUACUUGUCUCCCGAGAUCCUGCAGGCCGUGGGCGGCGCGCCGGGGACUGGCAGCUACGGGCCCGAGUGUGACUGGUGGGCGCUGGGCGUGUUCGCCUAUGAAAUGUUCUAUGGGCAGACGCCCUUCUACGCUGACUCCACGGCUGAGACCUACGGCAAGAUCGUGCACUACAAGGAGCACCUGUCUCUACCGCUGGCAGAUGCAGGGGUCCCUGAGGAGGCUCGCGACCUCAUCCAGCAGCUGCUGUGUCCGCGGGAGAUGCGCCUGGGCCGGAAUGGAGCAGGCGAUUUCCAGAAGCAUCCUUUCUUUUUUGGCCUUGACUGGGACAGCCUCCGAGACAGCGUGCCUCCCUUUACACCAGAUUUUGACAGUGCCACGGACACGUGCAACUUCGAUGUGGUGGAAGAUGGGCUCACUGCCAUGGUGAGCGGGGGCGGGGAGACGCUGUCAGAUAUUGGGGAAGGCAUGCCCCUGGGGGUCCACCUGCCUUUCGUGGGCUACUCCUACUCCUGCAUGGCCCUCAGGGACGAGGAGAUCCUGGGCUCCACGCCCAUGGAACUGGAGGCCGAGCCGUUGCCUGAGCCAUUGCAAGAGCCCAGCCUGGAACCCACAGUGCCCGGAUCAGAGGAAACAGCUGAAGUGGCAGUUCCAGAGGCCAUUCUGGAGCCGGUGGCAGAAGCCGAGGUGACGCUGCGGGAGCUCCAAGAGGCCUUGGAGGAGGAGGUGCUUAGCCGGCAGAGCUUGAGCCAGGAGCUAGAGGCCAUCCGUUUGGCCAACCAGAACUUCGCCAGUCAACUCCAGGAGGCCCAGGCCCGGAACCGAGACCUGGAGGCGCACGUUCGGCAGCUGCAGGAGCGGAUGGAGUUGCUUCAGGCCGAGGGAGCCGCAGCUGUCACGGGGGUCCCCAGUCCCCGGGCCAUGGAUCCACCUUCCCAUGUAAGACCCCUCUUUUUCCCCUGCGUCAAGCCUGCUGUCCCCUGUGCAGACCCUGUCCCCAUCUCCCUGUACCCCCGCCUGGAUUUAGGGCUCACUCCUUCCUUUUUGAGGUUCCAGUCGGCAGACACCCUCCUUUCAGCCCCACAUCUACCAGAUAUCCCUGGUUCAGGCCUCUCUCCAAAUCCCAGCCGGGAUCUCCCGAGAAGCCCUCCCCGACCUCCACUCCCCUCGCUGUCUCUCGACCCCCGCUGAGGGCGGCCGAGCCGAGCUGAGCUCGGAUCGGGUCACCUGUCCCUUCUCUCUCCAGCUAGAUGGCCCCCCGGCCGUGGCUCUGGGCCAGUGCCCGCUGGUGGGGCCAGGCCCCAUGCACCGCCGCCACCUGCUGCUCCCUGCCAGGGUCCCUAGGCCUGGCCUACGGGAGGCGCGUUCCUUGCUCCUGUUCGCCGCUGCUCUGGCUGGUGCCGCCGCCCUGGGCUGCACUGGGUUGGUGGCCUGCGCCGGCCAUCUCGCCGCAGUCUGACCCCGCCCGGGAGCCACCUUCGCCGCCUGAACCGUAGAACCCGAGCCCGUCCUCCGCUCGGGCUCUGCUGGAGAGUUGGGUGACCCGGGUACCGCCCAGAAGCCACUCCCACCGCCUCCGGUUCACAGCACUCCGAGCGUGGGUCUCCGCCCCAGCUCUAGCCCUGUGAUCCGGGCCCGCCCCCUGGCGGCCGGGGAGGGAGGAGUGGGGGCCGCGGCUCAAGCGAGACUUGUAGCCUGGAAAGCUGCUGCUGCUGAGGGGAUCGCGGACCUCUCUCUUCCUCCGGCCUGGCUGAGGCCCCCCGACGGGGGUGGGCAAACUGCGACCUAGAGAAGGCAGCAGGGCCAGGGUUCAAGCAACUAUUUUUCACCUUCCAGGCACCCCCACCCACAUCGGCUCGCAAACCACAAAUCCUCUGUGUGCAUGAGGCCCUGCCCUCCCAGGAAAGCUCUCUACGCGGCGAACGUCUAGCGCGAGCUCCGCCUGCUCUCUGGAGAACCUUUUGCUUUUGACAGCCCCGCUUUUUCGGGGACUUUCGUGCCUUCCUCCUCACGUGCGUUGCUCUCGGAGCCACAGCCGGCUCCGCCCGCCUCAGCAGUGUGGGUAUUUAUUGACCUGUCCUCCAACCCGCUGACAGGCUCCAGGAUCCCGGCACCCUAAUCCACGUUUUGGAUGCACUGAGACCCCGACAUUCCUCGGUAUUUAUUGUCUUUCCCCACCUAGGACCCCACCCCCGAUCCUCGCAAAUAAAAGGCCCUUUCGUCUGCCCAGAA
Molecule: non-coding RNA, 3839 nt
Organism: Sus scrofa (pig)
Lineage: Eukaryota; Metazoa; Chordata; Mammalia; Artiodactyla; Suidae
Source: RefSeq, a predicted model, not a curated record